AGCAGCCGCGGUAAUUCCAGCUCCAAUAGCGUAUAUUAAAGUUGUUGCAGUUAAAAAGCUCGUAGUUGAAUUUCGGGGUUAGUAGGUUGGUCAUGCCUCUGGUAUGUACUGAUCUCACUGAUUCCUCCUUCCUGAUGAACCGUAAUGCCAUUAAUUUGGUGUUGCGGGGAAUUUGGACUGUUACUUUGAAAAAAUUAGAGUGUUUAAAGCAAGCUAACGCUUGAAUACAUUAGCAUGGAAUAAUGAAAUAGGACGUUCGAUCCUAUUUUGUUGGUUUCUAGGAUUGACGUAAUGAUUAAUAGGGAUAGUUGGGGGCAUUAGUAUUCAAUUGUCAGAGGUGAAAUUCUUGGAUUUAUUGAAGACUAACUACUGCGAAAGCAUUUGCCAAGGAUGUUUUCAUUAAUCAAGAACGAAAGUUAGGGGAUCGAAGACGAUCAGAUACCGUCGUAGUCUUAACCAUAAACUAUGCCGACUAGGGAUCGGAUGAUGUUAAUUUUUAAUGACUCAUUCGGCGCCUUAA
Molecule: ribosomal RNA, 520 nt
Filed under: uncultured Glomus
Lineage: Eukaryota; Fungi; Glomeromycota; Glomeromycetes; Glomerales; Glomeraceae
Description: SSU rRNA
Rfam family: Eukaryotic small subunit ribosomal RNA
Source: RNAcentral